Molecule: ribosomal RNA, 110 nt
Filed under: Erinaceus europaeus (western European hedgehog)
Lineage: Eukaryota; Metazoa; Chordata; Mammalia; Eulipotyphla; Erinaceidae
Source: RNAcentral
GUCUAUGGCCAUACCACCCUGAACACGCCUGAUCUCGUCUGAUCUCGGAAGAAAUGAGACAAAGAACAAAAACAGAUUUUUUUUAAAAAAAAAUUAUUAUGCUAUAGAGG